CGGGGUGUAGCCCAGUUGGUAGGGUGCGACAUUUGGGAUGUCGAGGCCGCGAGUUCGAGUCUCGCCACUCCGA
Molecule: transfer RNA, 73 nt
Filed under: Clostridiales bacterium
Lineage: Bacteria; Bacillati; Bacillota; Clostridia; Eubacteriales
Also listed under: 3 other names
Description: tRNA-Pro
Rfam family: tRNA
About the family: Transfer RNA (tRNA) molecules are approximately 80 nucleotides in length. Their secondary structure includes four short double-helical elements and three loops (D, anti-codon, and T loops). Further hydrogen bonds mediate the characteristic L-shaped molecular structure. tRNAs have two regions of fundamental functional importance: the anti-codon, which is responsible for specific mRNA codon recognition, and the 3' end, to which the tRNAs corresponding amino acid is attached (by aminoacyl-tRNA synthetases). tRNAs cope with the degeneracy of the genetic code in two manners: having more than one tRNA (with a specific anti-codon) for a particular amino acid; and 'wobble' base-pairing, i.e. permitting non-standard base-pairing at the 3rd anti-codon position.
Source: RNAcentral